Long non-coding RNA from Homo sapiens (human), 7560 nucleotides. RefSeq lists it as uncharacterized. The transcript has a single exon. Lineage: Eukaryota; Metazoa; Chordata; Mammalia; Primates; Hominidae. The record is from RefSeq and is a predicted model, not a curated record.
AUGGGGGCCGUCCUUCCCUGGGGGCAGGGACGUAGGGAACCAGGCGGUGGGGAGGGAGAAAGGAGCGACGAGGUCAGAGGAAACCUUGGGUUUCCAAGGCUCCUGGGGCACCAAAGGGCUUCCCGCAGUCGGGGAAUUGAGCCCUGGGGAGGAGCCUUUUGCGAGAACGUGAGCGCGCCCCAACACGCCUCAGACCUCGUAAACCCACUUGGCAAAGACCGGGGAAGCGGCUGGCGGACCGACUGCGGUGAACUCAAGAAAUUAACCUGCGCUGCAAUUAAACGGGCUGCCGCCCUUUCACACUCACCUCGAGCGACCGAGAUAGAGAAAGCUCCCGAACCGGCCGCGGGGGGACUUGGCUCCACCCUCCCGUCCCGGGAGAAGAGGACAAAAAGGGGAGAUGGACUUGGAAUGGCCCCGCCCUUCACAGCGCUCCAAUCCUUGGAAACCAAACCUCCUCUCCAAGCCUCCACGUCUAGAAGGGACAAAGGCAGCGAGGAGAUCCAGAGACCGACGGGGAGAUGGUGGCUUUCAGGCUUCUGGUGUGGGUGCAUGGGGGAAAGGUACAAUGGUUAACUUUCCAUCAAAAAUACGGCACCACACGAUGGUCUUGAGAAGACACACUCGGUCUUCUGGUUUAGAAGCAAAUUGACUUCCUGAAGCUGUGAAGCGAACUAUCGCAAAACUCUCUUGCUUCUUGAAUGUGGGGGCGAUACAAAUUCAAUUAAUGAUGCCAUACACGUAAUCUUUUCGACUUUUUAGAAGUCACAAACGCUUUAACUCUCCAGUGAAAAUAAUUGAAAGAGGUUAAACAUAAGGGGAAUGGGCUUUUUUUUUUUCUUGUUUUUAUUUGGGACAAUUUUUCAAAUGAUAAAACUGUAUAAAUACAAGCUGGGUCAGUCAAGGAAAGCGCUGUGGCUGAAGAUUUUCGUAAAAACCUUAGUAAACGUGGCAUUUAAGUAACUAAUUAUGCUUUGCCAUUAGCAGACCAUUAAGAUAAACAGGAGAAAGUUCACACUCCUGCUAUUUCGUUCCCUAAGAAUAGUCACAAAGAUAAUACCAGGCUAGUUGGUGGGUUAUCUUCUCCAUUAGGAGGGUUAAUGUUUAAAUUUGUUAAUUAAAAUACAAAAAAUUUGGUUUCCUACACAGCCAACGUUGUGAGGGAAGUCUCACGGGGACAUCCUGACUCCUUGAAAUUUACCUUUUGUUACUUUAUCCUGUGGCAUUAUCCCCUGGAGUCAUAUAGGGUUUCAAGACUGUUAAUGUUGCAGGGAAUGUGAGUGAAUAUGUUAGAAGUCUGGACUUUCUUCUCCCUUAUCAUAGGUGACUGGCAUACACACUCCUCAUAAAGAGAAGUUAUGGCUCAUCAAAAGAGUGACUUUAUGAGCAUUAAUAGAAUAAUAAAUCUUGCACUUUUAGUUCAAGAAACAGUGAAGUCCUAUAAUCAGAGUGACCCACGCAAAUAUGAUCCAUUCACUUGCCCAACUCUAACAGGAUACGGAUAGUCUAUAAAUCAUUUUAGUUUUUAAAACCUUAAAAAAGGAAGGCACCCAAAUCUCCCAAAGGAAGGUGUUUAUGGGGGGAAAGGGACUUCUAGCAAACCUGCAGGAAGAGAUCAUGGAAAAACGAACAGUCGGUCCAGAAGCUGAAUUAGAUAGACUUUCCACCGAAACAAGAAUGGAUAGAUGUUCCAAUGUCAUUGUUUCAGUAUUUAUGUUCUAUCAUUUAAAAAGAGAAAAGUCUUCCUGCUUCCUGAAAGCUAUACAAAAAAAAAAAAAAAUCCAGUUGAUAGCCCCGUUUUCUAAAUUCCAGCUGGAAAACUAUUCAAGUUGAUGAUUUUAGCAAAAGAAAGAGUAGGUGAAUACAAUAUGGCUUUUUAACCACAUUUUACACAUCUCUUUGUGGUAUUUCCCUGCCUAUGUGAAACUUCCUUUCUAUGCAAUGCAAUGUAGUCUUUUUACUAGUUGAGUUUGCUUGUGAUUUUUCAAUGAGUUAUCUAUUUUGAAUUCUUGUGAUCUUUACUCGUUGGAAAUUACUCAGUCUUCAAAAAGUUUUUCUUAAAACUUCAAAUUGGAUAAUUAUGGACCCUCCAAAUAUCAAAAAAGUGAAGUCACUAGCACACCUUCUUUCUAAUUUCUUACAGAAAAAUCAAUAUAUUGUCAUAAACCCAUAUUUAAACAUAUAUAACUAGGUAACUAGUGUCCAUGCCUAGGGAAAAGUGACUAACAGAAGACAAAGGUGGAUGAUUCAUGAUUCUGAACAGCUUUCAAAGGAAGAGACAUUGCAAUAACUUAUAUUAAACUUACUCCAUAUGAAUCUUUGUAUAUAUGCCUUUGGAUACCAAAGAUGUUUCGAUAGUGAUAUUCUAAAAUUCAAAAGAAAGUCUUUCUUCCAUAGGUAGUAGUUAAAUUUACAGUUCUAUCAAACUAGUUAUUGUAAUAUGUAAUGUGUAAUUUCAUUCAAUCAUUGAGUAUUUGUUUAGCAUCUGUAUUACGCCAUUCUCAGAACUGAGUACUAGGGAUACGAAGAUGAAUAACUGAAAUGAGUCAAAUUUUUGAUGCAUGAUCAACCACUAGCUUCAAUAUAACAUUACUUGGAUAUAAAACUUCAGAUUUUUUACUCAAAAGCAAUACCAGGAUUUGGCCUAUGAUGAAACUAUAAUUAAUUUGAAUAUUUCUGUUCUCACAAUGAAGCUAUUAAGGAGUAAUAUUUUGUCAAAAUAAAAUUUUUGGAGUUCGUUGUAAAGCCAAUGUGUUGGCUUAACUCAUAAUUUAACAUGAAAUUCUCCCUCAAAGAGAUAUUUAAUUUUAUUUUAUUUUAGAUGGAGUCUUGCUCUGUCGCCCCAGCUGGAGUGCAGUGGUGCUAUCUUGGCUGACUGUAACCUCUACCUCCCGGGUUCAAGGAUUCUCCUGCCUCAGCCUCCCAAGUAGCUGGGACUACAGACAUGCACCACCACACCCAGCUAAUUUUUGUAUUUUUAGUAGAGACAGGGUUUCACUAUGUUGGCCAGGCUAGUCCCAAACUCCCAACCUCAAGUGAUCCGCCCACGUCAGCCUCCCAAAGUGCUAGGAUUACAGGCCUGAGGCACCUCGCCUAGCCAAUCUUUUUAAAAGUGCAAAAUAACAACCUUAGAUCAACUAGGGUUAGAUUAACCAAAUUCUGAAGACAAGACUCAAGUCAAAGAUUGCCCAUUUGUUGAAGCAUCACUUCCAGCAGAAAGACCAGCAUUUCCAGGUUCUUACUAUUUGUUCUCUAUCUGAAGCUUAGGGAAAGGAAGUGAUUUAUUCAGGAACACAGAGCUGGUAAGGAGCAGUCAGCCCUAGAGUCUACACUUCAAUGGUAGUUUCUCCAAAGUUAUCAUUCUCAUAUCAUAUUCAAGAUUUCUUCUUAUUCUUUUUCUUUUUUUGGGGGGGAUAUAUUUUCAUGUAACUUGGUCCUGUUAUUUAAUUAAUAUACAUUUUUAAAGUCAACUUUAAAAAAUUUUUAACUUCAUCAUAAGCAAUAAUAUUCACAAAUCACAGGUCUGAUGGGCUAUUUAUACAUUUUCAAUGCAUAUCAAAAUACAUAUACUGUUAUCAAAAUUGAAAGAAAGAUUUUUGGAGUAAAAAAUGUCUGAUAGUAUACUUGCUAAACUGUGUAAGGAGUGAGAAAGAUGGGGAGGAAAGUGUUGUUACAAUUUGUGUUUGUGUGUGUGUGUACAAACAUGAAUCACUUUUAUAAUUUAAAAAAUUUUACAGAAAAAAUUAUGUGGCAUAGUAGUGGUUAGUAUAUCUCCAAAUUAAGUCAUUUCUUUGUAUAUUCUUAAUAGGAAAUAAAAAUUAGCAUGAAUCUUUUUUAGAGCAAUUUAACAAUAUACAUUUAAAGUCUUUAAAUGUUCACACUUUAGUGCCCUUAAUUCCUAUGCUUAGAAUCUACCUUAACAGAAAUGAAAAAAAAUAUAUAUAUAUAUAUAAGAAAUGAUAAAGUAAGUAAUCAAAAAUAAGUGAUUAAGAUAAGAGGACUAGUUAGGUAGAUAAUAAUCUAUUCCCAUUAUGACACAUUAAGUAGCUUUAAUUGUUUGAGAAUUUGCAAUUAAAUAGAAAAAUGGUCCAAUAUUAGGUAAAAGACCUGGAUACAAAAUUAUGAUCAUGAAUUACUUUUUUCAAAUUGUAUACCCCCAAAAUCACCUUGAAUGAAAAUAUACCAGCAUGUCAACAGCAAGUUGACUUCUGAUUAGAAAAAAUUUGGAAAAUUUAGAAGGUAUAGAUAAGCUAUGUAAGUUAUAUAGCUAUAUAAUGAUGUUUAUAUAUAUAUAUAUGCUAUGGAGUCAACUGCUUUGUUUGGACUGAAUUAUCAAUUAUCUUUUUAAGUAUUUAAAAACAUUUUAAAGUUAAAUGAUAGAACCUACUUUUUAUAAGACUGGUAAUUGUAAAUGUGUCUCAAGGAACAUGUUAAUACUGCUAAUGAAAUAGUGGUACAGUAACCUUUUCACACAGAUAUUUUUCCCUUCACAGAUAAUACAGGAAGAAGGUUUGAGUGGGCAUUUUAAAUAUAUUUUAUAUAGAAAAGAAAAUUUAGGACCAAAGAGAUUGAAUGAUUUAACCUAAGGUCUUCCAAUGCUAAUGGUAUAAAGACUAAAAUCCAGGUCUCUUAAUUCUUACUGUUACAUUUUGAAAUCUGUCAUUCCACUACAGUUGAAAAAUAUUACCAAAUAUUAGCAAAAGAAAAUUACUAAUGGCCAAUAUGAAAAAAGUUCAACAUAGCAUUUACAUUGUAUUAACUAUUAUAAGUAAUCUAGAGAUGAUUUAAAGUAUAUCAGAAAAGGUAUGUAGAUUAUAUGCAAAUAUUAUGCCAUAUUGUAUAAGAGACUUGAGCAUCCAUGGGGGUCCUGGAACUGAUAUCCUUUGGAUACCAAGGGAUGACCACAUACUGAAUGUUUGUGAGUGUGUGUGAUUUCCCAGUUGUUAAGAGCAUAUAUAAUUCCCAGUUGUUGAGAAUAUGAAAAAAUAGACCCUAUAAUUCUCUACUGGUGAGACUGGAACUAUGAAAAGUUUUAUUCUUUCCAGAUAUAUUAAAAGUCUUUUACCCAGGAAUUUAAUUUUUGGAAAUUGAUUUAAAGAAAUAUUCAUGACUGUCAUCAAAAUUUUAUGUAUAAGGAGACUCAUUGUAGCAUUGAUAUCUAACAGCAAGUGAUCAAAGAAGUUAUAUUCAUUUAUGUGAUAGAAAGUUGUAUGCCUAUCAAAUUCUGUAGGAAAUGUCAAAUGACACUGAAAUAUUUAAAUGAUUUUUUGAUAACCAAAAAAACAGAUUUCAAAACAAUGUAUAUAGUAUUAUCCCAUAUUUGUAUGUGUGUGUGUGUGUGUGUGUGUGUGUGUGUGUGUGUGUGUAUGUGUGUGUGUGUGGCUAGGCACUGAAAAAUAAUCAGACAAGUAUAAUCAAAGUGUUAAUAGUAAUUUUUUCCAGGUAAUGUCAUUUUUUCUAGCAAAGUAAUUAUGUAUACAUUAUACAUUUUUUUCACUCUGGCUUUUCAGAUUUUUAAGCUUUUCUACAAUGAAUAUAUCACUUUUGCAAUUAGGAAAAGUUCAGAGCUUGCAAAUAAAUUUUGCCAGCAUAAAAUUUCUUCCAUAUCAUAAGACUGACCAAAUCAAAUGCUUUUCUAACUUAUAAUGUUAAUUGUGAGGUUUUGUUAAUCAUUAUUUAAACACACACACACACACACACACACACCUUGAAAUUCUUGGUGAUAUAUCCAUUUGAUUUCCCAAACAGCCUUCACUCAGAAUUCAGGGUAUCCAGUAUGCAGUAUGCUAGCACAAAGUUGACUUUGCAUCUGCAGACUACCAGCCCAUGACUGAUCCCUUGUAGAUUUCAUGUUAUUUGCCCUUUCACCAUUACAUGAAAUCUACACAUACUCUCCUGUCCACUAGGUUGUGGUUUGAUUUCUCAGCGCAUUACUAAUAACAGUGUUUCAAAAAAGUUACUCAUUGGUUGUUUUUUUAAGUAUCUAGAAGGCAGAACAGGUUUAUUUUUAGUAUCUUUCUGAUGUUUAUGUUGAAAAUUUGUUCAUUCCAAACAACAGGUUUUAUGUGAACUUUUAUUGACUUAAUGUUUAGAACAAAGAUGAAACCAAAUCUAGCACUGGACACCUACUCACUGGUUUCCACCUCCUGCUUUUGCUAAUGAUGACCUUGGACAAGUGUCUUAAUGACUCCAUGCAUCAGUUUCCACAUCUGUAAAAGAGGAAUAAAUUAAAUACUGAUAGGAUUGCUAUGAGGAUUGAAUAACAUGUAUAUAAAGUAUAUGGGAGUCUGUAUCUGUAAGCUGAUAUGCUCUAAAUCCUUAAACCUUUACUGUGAGGCAGGAUAGGUGAAGCAAGAGCUCUAAUUUUGGAAUCAAGAGAGGUAUCUAGUCUAGAAAAUCAAAACCAUAUUAUGUAGCCAUGAUUUUAGAAAAACAAGCCAUUACUAUUUAAAUAAACAAGACAACAACAAUAAUUUAAAAAUUUUAAAACCUAAACAUAAUGAAUGGUAUCUAAAUUCUUCUAUUGCUGUUGAUUUGCUACUUACUAAUUCAUUUUGUCUUUUGCAAGAACUAAUCUACCAGUUAUGUGAGAGUAGGGCAAAAGCUAUUAUUUUUAACUGUAAGAAAAAAAACUAAAAUCAAGGAAGCUUUGUUUGUUGAUAUCUCAAAUACAAGAAACAGUUCGGUAUGCUUAGAAAAAUCAAUAUUUCGUAGGAAUUGUUAUAAUAAAUAUAAAUAAAAAAACUACAGCAAAUAGGAAACAUUUUAUUUCACUUCCUUUUUUCUGUUAAUUGCACAGACCACCACUAUUCCUUGGUCUAGCUUCUAGUCAGCAGUGUUCUGCUGGAGCACAAUUGGAAAACCACUGAUCUAUUCCAGAUGAGAAAAUCGUCUCAAGGAAAAGUGAUUUGCCCAGGGUUACAUACCAAGUUACUGAAGAAGCUAAGAUCCAGACCUACUCAAUCCCUCUUCAUGGCUAUUUCCACUACAUCGAGUUUGCCUAUCCUAGCAAAAGAGAUUUCCUUGAGCUGGUAUUGAACCAAAAGCUCAGUUAUCUUCUUUCCUCCCUUUCUCACUCCUUCUUUAACUUUCUCCCUCUGUCCCUCUCUGGCGUUUUCCUCCCUCCAUUCUUAGCUUCCUUCCUUCCUAAGGUUUCUCAGGAAUGAAAUCCUGUACUUUAUGUGACCAAUAAUAAUUAACUGCUUAGUCAAUCAGUACAUAAUUUUUAUGUUUUCUCUAAAUUAUUUUGAUAACUUUCAGUUCAUUUCAUUUUCUUUUCUAACCUCAGAAGAUUAGUGGAAUAGCUAAUUGUGUUCUCUGUAUAUCAAUAUCUUCUGUUCUUUGGGAGUAUUUGGAGUUAUCCUCCACCUUUUUUUUCAUUUUUAAUCUAAAAUGAUUUUUAUAGGCUUAGGAUCAGGAAAUAAAAAAGACAAAAGAAAUGUAUGAUUUUUCAGCUGGAAAAAUAUAAUUCUUUUAUUUCACGUAUAAAUAUAAAUGGAAAAUAUAGCACUAUUCUGCAUUAUCAGGGAUCAUAUGAAAUAAAAAUUGAUUCUUCUGGUC